This 255-nucleotide ribosomal RNA is filed under the name uncultured bacterium. RNAcentral's name for it is "partial 16S ribosomal RNA". It matches the Rfam family "Bacterial small subunit ribosomal RNA", at positions 524 to 776 of the family's 1533-position model. The record is from RNAcentral.
UACAGAGGUCUCAAGCGUUACUGAGAAUCACUGGGUUUAAAGGGUGCGUAGGUGGUCCGUUAAGUCAGUUGUGAAAUCCCCCGGGCUCAACCCGGGGAAAUGCUUCUGAUACUGGCGGACUUGAGGCCAGUAGGGGUCACUAGAACUGACGGUGGAGCGGUGAAAUGCGCAGAUAUCGGGAGGAACACCGGUGGCGAAGGCGGUUCUCUGGGCCUGACCUGACGCUGAGGAGCGAAAGCGUGGGGAGCGAACAGG